This 119-nucleotide small nucleolar RNA is filed under the name Nannospalax galili (Upper Galilee mountains blind mole rat). RNAcentral's name for it is "Small nucleolar RNA SNORA25 (ENSNGAG00000006780.1)". The record is from RNAcentral. Lineage: Eukaryota; Metazoa; Chordata; Mammalia; Rodentia; Spalacidae.
AGGUCAUUUCAAAGAGAGCUUGUUAGGCUAUGGCCACUUAAUCCUGCACCCAAAGACUGAAGUUCUCCCCAGGAUGACGUAGUCUCUUAAUAGUGCUGUUUUUCUAAGGAGAAAUAAAA